This 481-nucleotide ribosomal RNA is filed under the name uncultured bacterium. RNAcentral's name for it is "bacterial SSU rRNA". It matches the Rfam family "Bacterial small subunit ribosomal RNA", at positions 28 to 518 of the family's 1533-position model. The record is from RNAcentral.
GAUGAACGCUGGCGGCGCGCCUAACACAUGCAAGUCGAGCGGGAUCUAUUUGGAGCUUGCUCCGGGCAGAUCCAGUGGCGGACGGGUGAGUAACACGUGAGCAACCUGCCUUUCAGAGGGGGAUAACGUCGGGAAACCGACGCUAAUACCGCAUAACAUACCGGGAUGGCAUCAUUCCGGUAUCAAAGGAGCAAUCCGCUGGAAGAUGGGCUCGCGCCCGAUUAGAUAGUUGGCGGGGUAAUGGCCCACCAAGUCUGCGAUCGGUAGCCGGACUGAGAGGUUGAUCGGCCACAUUGGGACUGAGACACGGCCCAGACUCCUACGGGAGGCAGCAGUGGGGAAUAUUGCACAAUGGGGGAAACCCUGAUGCAGCGACGCCGCGUGAGUGAAGACGGCCCUCGGGUUGUAAAGCUCUGUGAUAGGGGACGAUAAUGACGGUACCCUGUCAGAAAGCCACGGCUAACUACGUGCCAGCCGCCGC